CCUACGGGAGGCACCAGUUGGGGAAUAUUGCACAAUGGAGGAAACUCUUGAUGCANCAAUGUCGCGUGAGUGAAGAAGGCCCUUGGGUCGUAAAGCUCUUUUAUGGGGGAAGAUGAUGACGGUACCCCAAGAAUAAGCACCGGCUAACUAUGUGCCAGCAGCCGCGGUAAUACAUAGGGUGCGAGCGUUGUUCGGAAUUACUGGGCGUAAAGGGCGCGCAGGCGGAAUAGUAAGUCGGAAGGUGAAAAGCCCGGGGCUCAACCCCGGAGGGUCUUUCCGAAACUGCUAAUCUAGAGAGGGGUCAGGGGCCGGCAGAAUUCCCUGGGUGUAGGAGGUGAAAUUCGUAGAUAUCAGGAGGAAUACCGGUGGCGAAGGCGGCCGGCUGGGGCCACUCUGACGCUGAGGCGCGAAAGCGUGGGGAGCAAACAGGAUUAGAUACCCUGGUAGUCCACGCCGUAAACGAUGAGCACUGGACGUCCGGAGGGUUCGACCCUUCUGGGUGUCUCAGCUAACGCAUUAAGUGCUCCGCCUGGGGAGUACGGUCGCAAGACUAAAACUCAAAUGAAUUGACGG
This 573-nucleotide ribosomal RNA is filed under the name uncultured delta proteobacterium. RNAcentral describes it as "bacterial SSU rRNA". It matches the Rfam family "Bacterial small subunit ribosomal RNA", at positions 338 to 916 of the family's 1533-position model. The record is from RNAcentral. Lineage: Bacteria; Deltaproteobacteria.